This 65-nucleotide transfer RNA is filed under the name Dipodomys ordii (Ord's kangaroo rat). It matches the Rfam family "tRNA". From Rfam's summary of the family: Transfer RNA (tRNA) molecules are approximately 80 nucleotides in length. Their secondary structure includes four short double-helical elements and three loops (D, anti-codon, and T loops). Further hydrogen bonds mediate the characteristic L-shaped molecular structure. tRNAs have two regions of fundamental functional importance: the anti-codon, which is responsible for specific mRNA codon recognition, and the 3' end, to which the tRNAs corresponding amino acid is attached (by aminoacyl-tRNA synthetases). tRNAs cope with the degeneracy of the genetic code in two manners: having more than one tRNA (with a specific anti-codon) for a particular amino acid; and 'wobble' base-pairing, i.e. permitting non-standard base-pairing at the 3rd anti-codon position. Lineage: Eukaryota; Metazoa; Chordata; Mammalia; Rodentia; Heteromyidae. The record is from Rfam by way of RNAcentral.
GGUGACUCAGUGGUAGAGUGCUUGCCUUGCAUGCAUGAGGCCCUUGGUUCUAUUCCUCGGCACCA